GCCCUAGCUCGGAAUGGGAAAUCCCUGUAUGAUGUUCUUUCUCUGGAAGUGCUUCCAUGUUCUUAAAUCCUGUUUCCUUUCUUGCCAUCUUUCCCUCAGAGCCGCUAAGCGUCUUGUCCUAUGAACCCUCUGCUAGUGCUGUUCUUUCCGGCUCAACCCACCCAGCGGCCCACCCACCCCACGGAAGAGGUUUGGGAAGACGGGUCAGAGAAGCUCCUAGACUCCUCUGAGGCCCUAGUGCCAGCGUGUGAGGAAAACCACUUCGGUGUCCGAGACGUCCCUUCGAGAAUGUCCAUAUGGAGCCUUCCUGUGUCGCCCACCUCCUCCGCAGAGGAAGCGCACAGGCGGGGAGCGCUGGCCAAGACAGAAACAGGAGCCACACUCCCUCUGACUCGAUUUUGAAUCCUGACGUUGUCACUGACAUGCAGUGAUUGAAUCCCUCUGCACCCGACUUCUGUCAUCUGGAAAACACGCCCCGCUUUCAGAGUUGCGGCGCCAUGGGCCUUGGGACGUUCGGAUCCCUGCCACUCCCUCGCCUGUGCCAUGCGCCUUAGCCCAUCCUGUAGGAGGCAGAGUCCAGACCCAGCUGCGGAGCAGGCGUGUCAUUGUGUGCUUAACCCCAGGGGCUUCUGGGACAGGAGCAAAGACCCCAUUUUGGUCCAUACUGUCAACUUGACUUAUGUUCCCGUCUUCCCUUGGAGAAGUUGUCACACUAUUGUCUAUGAUUAUGAAGGUGGAAUGCUUAAUUUUGGCAUAAAGCAAGCUGUGAGUGUUGGCUUUUGUGCCCUGAUGUGGGCUGUUGCCUAGAAUUUAAGGAGAGUUUAUAAUUUAGAGUUACCCAAGGAAGUUGGUAUUCUUACUUGUUUUUUAAGGAUCGAUGAACUUUGUGCACCCUACAUAGGUCUGUUUGGGCAUUGAAGAAAAGAAACGCUCCUUGGUUUACCUAAUCCAGCGUAACAGAGAG
Long non-coding RNA from Mustela erminea (ermine), 964 nucleotides. RefSeq lists it as uncharacterized. The transcript is spliced from 3 exons. The record is from RefSeq and is a predicted model, not a curated record. Lineage: Eukaryota; Metazoa; Chordata; Mammalia; Carnivora; Mustelidae.